AAUUUUGGACAAUGGGGGCAACCCUGAUCCAGCCAUGCCGCGUGCGGGAAGAAGGCCUUCGGGUUGUAAACCGCUUUUGUCAGGGAAGAAAAGCUCUGAGCUAAUACCUCGGGGUAAUGACGGUACCUGAAGAAUAAGCUCCGGCCAACUACGUGCCAGCAGCCGCGGUAAGACGUAGGGGGCGAGCGUUGUCCGGAAUUAUUGGGCGUAAAGGGCUCCUAGGCGGUUCAGUAAGUCGACUGUGAAAAUCCAAGGCUCAACCUUGGGACGCCAGUCGAUACUGCUGUGACUCGAGUUCGGUAGAGGAGUGUGGAAUUCCUGGUGUAGCGGUGAAAUGCGCAGAUAUCAGGAGGAACACCAACGGCGAAGGCAGCACUCUGGGCCGAUACUGACGCUGAAGAGCGAAAGCGUGGGGAGCAAAC
RNAcentral lists this ribosomal RNA (422 nucleotides) under uncultured bacterium. RNAcentral describes it as "bacterial SSU rRNA". It matches the Rfam family "Bacterial small subunit ribosomal RNA", at positions 360 to 773 of the family's 1533-position model. The record is from RNAcentral.